UGACGGGGGCCCGCACAAGCGGCGGGGCACGUGUUCAAUGGGGAGGCAAGGUGAAGAACUUUAACAGAUCCAGACAUCCUGAGAACUUUCUAGAGAUAGAAUGGUGCCUUCGGGAGCUCAGAGACAGGUGCGGCAUGGCUGUCGUCAGCUCGUCUCGUGAGAUGUUGGGUUAAGUCCCGUAACGAGCGCAACCCUUGUCCUUAGUUGCCAGCGCGUAUUGUCGGGAACUUUAAGGAGACUGCCGGUGACAAACCGGAGGAAGGUGGGGACGACGUCAAGUCAUCAUGGCCCUUACGACCUGGGCUACACACGUGCUACAAUGGAACGCACAGAGGGCUGCAAAGGCGCGAGCUGGAGCGAAUCCCACAAAACGUUUCGUAGUCCGGAUUGGAGUCUGCAACUCGACUCCAUGAAGUCGGAAUCGCUAGUAAUCGUGGAUCAGAAUGCCACGGUGAAUACGUUCCCGGGCCUUGCACACACCGCCC
Molecule: ribosomal RNA, 485 nt
Filed under: uncultured Gammaproteobacteria bacterium
Lineage: Bacteria; Pseudomonadati; Pseudomonadota; Gammaproteobacteria
Description: bacterial SSU rRNA
Rfam family: Bacterial small subunit ribosomal RNA
Source: RNAcentral